RNAcentral lists this ribosomal RNA (389 nucleotides) under uncultured Streptococcus sp. Its description in RNAcentral is "bacterial SSU rRNA". It matches the Rfam family "Bacterial small subunit ribosomal RNA", at positions 991 to 1382 of the family's 1533-position model. The record is from RNAcentral. Lineage: Bacteria; Bacillati; Bacillota; Bacilli; Lactobacillales; Streptococcaceae.
GAUGCAUUUCUAGAGAUAGAAAGUUACUUCGGUACAUCGGUGACAGGUGGUGCAUGGUUGUCGUCAGCUCGUGUCGUGAGAUGUUGGGUUAAGUCCCGCAACGAGCGCAACCCCUAUUGUUAGUUGCCAUCAUUCAGUUGGGCACUCUAGCGAGACUGCCGGUAAUAAACCGGAGGAAGGUGGGGAUGACGUCAAAUCAUCAUGCCCCUUAUGACCUGGGCUACACACGUGCUACAAUGGUUGGUACAACGAGUUGCGAGUCGGUGACGGCGAGCUAAUCUCUUAAAGCCAAUCUCAGUUCGGAUUGUAGGCUGCAACUCGCCUACAUGAAGUCGGAAUCGCUAGUAAUCGCGGAUCAGCACGCCGCGGUGAAUACGCUCCCGGGCCUU